Molecule: RNA transcript, 828 nt
Organism: Nycticebus coucang (slow loris)
Lineage: Eukaryota; Metazoa; Chordata; Mammalia; Primates; Lorisidae
Gene name: MICOS complex subunit MIC26-like
Exons: 1
Source: RefSeq, a predicted model, not a curated record
UCCUGCUCAAGCUCUCCCCAAGGCAGUUCAACUGAGUGCCAAGUUCAAAAACACCAAAACAGUUCACAGCUUUCACUCUACUCAGUUCCCGAGAGUCAAUCCAAGUAUGUGGAGGAGCCACGGACCCAACUUGAAGAAAGCAUUUCACAACUGCGAAAUCACUGCAAGCCAUAUACAAGUUGGUGUCAGGAAACAUACUCCCAAACUAAGCCCAAGAUGCAAAGUUUGGUUCAAUUGGGGUUAGACAGCUAUGAAUAUCUCCAACAUGCCCCUCCUGGGUUUUUCCCAAGACUUGGUGUUAUCGGUCUCGCUGGCCUUGUUGGACUCCUUCUGGCUAACGGUUCAAAAAUAAAGAAGCUGGUGUAUCCACCUGGUUUCAUGGGAUUAGCUGCCUCUAUAUAUUAUCCACAACAAGCCAUAUUUGUCUAGGUCGGUGGGGAGAAAUUAUAUGACUGGGGUUUGCGAGGAUACAUAGUUGUAGAAGAUUUGUGGAAGGGGAACUUUCAAAAGCCAGGAAAUGUGAAGAAUUCACCUGGAAAUAAGUAGAAAACUCCAUGCUCUGCCCAUUUUAAUCAGAUAUAGGUAAACAUUGGAAACUCCCCAUACAGUAAAUCAAUUAUUUCUACAGACAAAUGGCAGAGAAGUCAGUAUUGAAUGUAUUAAACUGGCAUUCUUCAUCAGGAAAAACUAUACUAGGCCUCUUUUAUCUUGGGUGAUAUUAUCCUAUAAGCAAACUAAUCUGAAAUCCUGUCACCUAGAGAUAAUGUAUAAGCCUUAGAAUUCUUCAUGCUCAUGUUGCUAUUUAUGUACAUAAUUAAAAUCCAAGUU